Molecule: long non-coding RNA, 704 nt
Filed under: Pan troglodytes (chimpanzee)
Lineage: Eukaryota; Metazoa; Chordata; Mammalia; Primates; Hominidae
Description: long non-coding RNA NONPTRT016642
Source: RNAcentral
UUAGGAGGCAAGAUUUUAUAUACAAAGAGCUUGUGGGGGUGAGCUAAUGAAGUAGAAUUAAGAGUUCAGAGAUAGACAUACACAUCUAUGGCCAAUUGAAUUUUGACAAGGUUUCUGGGUCCAUUUGAUGAAUGUCUUAUAAGUUUACCUCCUUCUCAAUGUAAAGAAUUUCCUUAUGUUUAUUAUUUGUAAAUGAAAACAUCAAAUAAUUUGAUAGGGGAUGAGUUAAAUAGUGGAAAAGAAAAUAGUAAGAGGGCAGAGCUUGUAGGGAGUCCAGAAGGCAGGAAAAUUGAAUCCAUAUCUCAGCCAUUCCCAGGCUGGUGUGCAGCCUUAGGCAAUUCACAUCACGUGCCCAUCAAAGCAAGGCCUGUUUGCUGGAUCUGGAAGUGGGAGAGUGAGCUUCUCUCCAGCGGUUGCUUCCUUUUUAUGAUUCUGCUUUGUAGUGCAUUUUGCUAAUAUUUUCCUUUAUCUAUUGGAUCUUUAUUUUGCUUAUGUUAAAUUCCUGGCCAAUCUGUUACUAGUAAUUCUGCUUUAGUUGAUAGGCCCAAUUCGGCUUGCUGUCUUUCCUUUUCAUUGGUUGUGUUCUCAGCUGUUUUAUUGUUGUAGCCUGCAAGCUCAUUUUCUUAUGGGGAUUUCAGCUGCUUACUUUUUCUAGUAAUGGAUACUUGUGAAGUGCCAAAGGCCAGGCUGUAUUUUGUGUUCCA